This is a long non-coding RNA of Syzygium oleosum, 2803 nucleotides long. RefSeq lists it as uncharacterized. The record is from RefSeq and is a predicted model, not a curated record. NCBI's taxonomy places the organism in Eukaryota, Viridiplantae, Streptophyta, Magnoliopsida, Myrtales, Myrtaceae. The transcript is spliced from 13 exons.
UCCCGGACCCGCCUCGUGUUCGCGUACUAUGUCACCUGCGUCGGCUUCAUCUAUCCUUGAGUUUCAGAUGUUGUUCCAGUCGCACGCUGUGCUGCAGCAGAUGCUGGAAUUCGCUCUGUUUGUGUCGCCCACUUCAGUUGGGACUUCAUCUAUGCGGAAUACGUAAUGGCUGCGGGAAAUCAUCAUCGUAAGAUAGUUUGGCAGAUAGCAGAAGACUAUUCACAUUGGGCAUUCUUAAUCCGGCUCCCAGGAUAUUGCCAAGUAAGUUAUUAAAUUGAUUAGUCAUAGUGAUGGGUGUUUAUAUUUAUUUAUCUCAGUUACAGCUGGACAUUAUCCGCAUUGUGAAUUUCACGUGCCAUUUUUUUACAGUGCCCACUUUCCUCAACGUUAUAGAUGUACCGUUGGUUGUUAGAAGGUUGCACAUAUCCCGUAAGGAGGUUUGAUCGGCAAAACUCAAAUUGACAUCCUUUGUAGUCCAAUAUUGUGUAUAAUGCAGUAUCUCGAUGUAGGUUAGGAAGGAACUUGGAAUUGGGAUGAUGCGAAGCUAGCUAUCCUCCAUUUUGGCGGACAGGCGAGUUUAGUUUGAGUGGUUGAUAGUUUUGUACACAAUAAUUGGGUUGCUUUAAGAAGACAAAGAUACAAUAAUUGGAAACUAAAAAAUUUCUUUAGAUUAGAGGGGUGUAGCUGGUCUGUUUCUUCAACUACGUGACAACAGUACUUCCAACUUGAGGUUUCAUGUGAUCUUCUUAUUAUCUUUUCACUGAUGAUUUUACAUAUACUGCAUUAUGUGUUCAUAUAUAACAGUGAGAAUAUAUUAGCAAUCUGUGCUUUGGACCAUGCUGAUAUGUCACUUAUGUUCAGUUAGGAAUUUUUACUUGUACCAGCAGCAUUGUUUGUUUCCUGAACUAUUGCUCUCUUAUUCAUUUGUGUCAAAAUCUGCCUUGCCUGCAACCAUCAGGCUGGAGUUGGAGGAAAAGUACUUGCCUCCCGGUUGAUUGUGCUUGGUAUGUUCCGUUGCGUGUCCUUUAGAGCCCACGUUAUGCAAAAGCCACUUACAUUAUGGCCCUAGUUCACCUUCUUACGACUGAUAUGAUAUUUGAUUUGGGUUUGUGGUGCAUCUGAGAGCGAAAACCUUCCACCGAACUUUGUAAAGCUUGCUGAAGAUGCAUACACACCUGAUCUCAUUGCAGCCUCUAAUUGUAUGCUUGCAUACAAGCGUCCAUUUGUAUUUGCGCGGCGUGAUUACUUCAAUGAAGAACCAUUCUUGAGGAAUAUGCUGAAGUACUAUCAAGCUGGAGUAGAGAUGAUUAGGAGGGACUUACUCACUGGCCAUUGGAAACCUUACCUUGAACAAGCGAUCAGUCUUAAACCAUGCUAUGAAGGUGGCAUUAAUGGUGGCCAGGUAGCAGCUUACAUAUUGCAGGAGACAGCCGCUGCGAGAAAUUACGGAUCAGAUAAAUUUAGUGGGGCAAGUAGACUGCGCGACGCAAUAGUUCUUGGGCAUCAGCUGCAAAGAAUGCCUGGAAGAGACCUAUGCAUACCAGAUUGGUAGGCAAACGCUGAAAAUGAACUGGGCCUUAGCGCUGAAUCACCAAAAGUUGGAAUGAGUGAGAAAAGUUCCCAAAUGACUUUAUGCCCUUAUGAUUUUGAAAUUCUUCAUGGAGAUCUUCAUGAGCUUUCUGAUACAGUGAGUUUCUUGAAGAGUUUGUCAGAAAUUGUGAGUGAAGCUGGAAGGGAUCCUGAGAUGAGGCAGAUGCGGGAGCGUAAAGCAGCUGCCGGACUCUUUAAUUGGGAGGUCUGAUUAUCUUAUUUGGAUUAGUUUCUACAUUUUUAUUCCUCUUCCAGUUUGAUGGAUCAAACGCCUGUUGGAUUUAUUUGGAAAUUUCAUGAGUGGGAUGUGGGAGGUAAAUGUUUGUGUAUUAGUUCUUUCAAAAAGGGUUCCCAUUGGGGCAAAAGUAAUGAAUCCUUCUGACUUCUGAUUUUUGGCAAAAGUCGGUGAGAGAUACUCUGCAAAGUGUCCCUUUUUUGUUUCAGUAAUUUGUAAGUGUCGUUUAGUUGCAUUUUUGUGUAGUGAGGGGAGCUGUAAACUGAUCGUGGCCAUUUUUUUUAACAUUUUUCUUGCUUCUACUGUAUAUGUGGAGUGGGUUGGUGCUUCCGUAUGGGACUUGGUGGCAAAUGUUGUAAUUUUGAUUUGACUGUUUUCACAAUAAUUAAACAGGAAGAAAUAUUUGUCACGAGCACCUGGAAGGUUAGAUGUAAUGGGUGGAAUUGCUGACUAUCCAGGAAGCCUUGUGUUGCAGGGUUUAAACAUUAGCCCGCGGGAUCUUGCUUUGCUUUGCCAGAAGGUAGAGAACCACAUUGUUGGAGCUCCGUGCGGUGUAAUGGACCAGAUGACUUCUGCUUGUGGGGAAGCAAACAACCUUCUUGCCAUGGUCUGCUAGCCUGCUGAGGUGAUUGGACUUGUAGAAAUUCCCAGUCAUGUCCGAUUCUGGGGAAUUGAUUCAGGAAUUCGUCACAGUAUCGGAGGUGCAGAUUAUGGAUCUGUCAGAAUUGGUGCCUUUAUGGGUCGAAGGAUGAUAAGCACUAUGCUGUCUGGGACUCUGUCGAAUGGAAACGGGACAAAUCAAGAUGAACUGGAGGAGGAUGGUCUUGAACUUCUUGAAUCUGAAGCUUCAUUAGAUUAUCUAUGCAACCUGUCACCUCACAGGUGUCCUUCAAAUAUAUGCUUAGAAACUUUGGUCGCCACUUGUGCUAAAUGUGAUGCGCCAUUCCACCCUAUAUACAUGAGCCGCUCUCUUUAUAA